CCCCGGUUGGUGUAAUCGGUAGCACAUGGCUGUAUACCACGGUCGUUUCGAGAACACCGUUCUGUUAUUAUACGGAUACACCAGCGAAGCUCAGAGGUUCGAAUCCUCUAUCUUGGG
Non-coding RNA from Fusarium sp. MPI-SDFR-AT-0072, 117 nucleotides. The record is from the annotation of a GenBank genome assembly. Lineage: Eukaryota; Fungi; Ascomycota; Sordariomycetes; Hypocreales; Nectriaceae.